GUCCGGGUGGCGCAAUGGUAGCGCGCGAGUUUCCGGUACUCGAGGUUGCGUGUUCGAGUCGCGCCUCGGACG
Transfer RNA from Aspergillus carbonarius ITEM 5010, 72 nucleotides. It matches the Rfam family "tRNA". From Rfam's summary of the family: Transfer RNA (tRNA) molecules are approximately 80 nucleotides in length. Their secondary structure includes four short double-helical elements and three loops (D, anti-codon, and T loops). The record is from Rfam. NCBI's taxonomy places the organism in Eukaryota, Fungi, Ascomycota, Eurotiomycetes, Eurotiales, Aspergillaceae.